UACGUAGGGGUCGAGCGUUGUCCGGAGUUACUGGGCGUAAAGCGCGCGCAGGCGGCGCGAUAAGACCGGCGUGAAAGCCCCCGGCUCAACUGGGGAGGGUCGUGCGAUACGGUCGGGCUGGAGGCCAGUAGGGGGAUGCGGAAUUCCGGGUGUAGUGGUGGAAUGCGUAGAGAUCCGGAGGAACACCAGCGGCGAAGGCGGCAUCCUGGACUGGUCCUGACGCUCAGGAGCGAAAGCGUGGGGAGCGAUCCGG
RNAcentral lists this ribosomal RNA (253 nucleotides) under uncultured bacterium. RNAcentral describes it as "partial 16S ribosomal RNA". It matches the Rfam family "Bacterial small subunit ribosomal RNA", at positions 524 to 776 of the family's 1533-position model. The record is from RNAcentral.